UCCUCCGUGGCGCAACAGGAUAGCGCGUCUGACUGUUACGACAGUAGCGAUCAGGAGGUUGACAGUUCGAGCCUGUCCGGGGGAG
Molecule: non-coding RNA, 85 nt
Organism: Hypoxylon fragiforme
Lineage: Eukaryota; Fungi; Ascomycota; Sordariomycetes; Xylariales; Hypoxylaceae
Source: the annotation of a RefSeq genome assembly